CCGUUAAGUCGUGAUAAAAGGGAAUAAAAACGCAUAACACACAUAUCCAUUUAUUUGGAAAAGUUAGUUUUUAUUAUUACGACAACUAAAUCGGGUGCGACCAAAAGCCCCGUAUAACGGCAGUAUUGGGUAGAAUUCCACUGAGCCCCGACUCGGAACCCUAUAUAAAGGUGAGUGGAGUCCAUUGGAGACUUUUUACACUCUCUCUCUAUACUCUCUCUCUCUAGACUCGUUUUCGACCCAAAUCCGCAACCAAACGCUUCCAAAUCGUAAGUCCACUUACCCUAGAAUAUUCUAAACAUAUUGGCUUGUGUUUAUACCUCAAAAAUCGUCCCAGUAGGCAUGGAAUAAGGAGUUUACGGCCCAAGAACACUCUAGGGCCGUAAACCCCUAAUAUGGUGCCAAACAUGCCUUAAAACUCAUCCUUAAGCUUAGAAACUAUUAGGGGAUUUAGCCUAGGAGUGUUUAAACCCCAAAACAACAAGAUUUGUGGCAUAAAAGAGGGUUUACGGCCCAAGCACAUGCUUAGGCCGCAAACACCCUCUAAACUUGUUAAAUCAAGUUCCAAACACCUUGACUGCUAGCUACAGUACACGGCUCACCAAGCCAAGGGGUGACAAAUGUCACAUUAUAUAGACGCUUGAAGGGCGUCUGGUACUCUAGUGUCGGUUAGUAUGGUUACGAGUAUCCCGGGUUACCUUAUAAUUCAUGGCCUUAAGGUAAUAGUAUUCACCGGCAAUUUACACUGUAUGCUGGCAACUCAUUUUCAGAGUCACACUGUUUUGACCUUGCAAGACGUAUCUUUCAUUUGAUACUGUCUGGGGUCUGUCUCCUCUGUUUUGACCUUACAAGACGUAUCUCUCGUUUGAUGCUGUCUGGGGUCUGUAUCCACUGUAUUCAUAGAAUCCACUGUAUUCACUGUGUUCACUGUUUUUGACCUUGCUAGACGUAUCUUUCAUUUGAUACUGUCUGCGGUUUGUAUUCACUGUUUUGGACCUUACUAGUUGUACCUUUCAUUUGGUACCUUCUGGGGUCUGUGUCUCUAUUUGUUAGACUGAACCAGGUGUGUCGUUUGUUUGAUACUCUCCUGGAGUCUAUGAUUCCUUUGCCUUAGUCAGCAGUCCUCAUUGCUGAGGCAUAUGUUAUUUCCCUGUUGUCUCUUGCUGUCUUUAAUAAUCAAAUUUAGUAUUUUGAUAAUGAUAGCAAUUAAGGGAAAACCACUUAUUACCACAUAACACUGACCAGUCUUGGUACUCGCUUUUCAAAUAACUUGUAUUCUCAGGUUAGCAUUAGACAGGUACAUCCCCGGAGCUGUUGAUGAAGAUAGCUUAGUACCACGCUACAUUUAUUCUAUUACUUGUAUCACUUUGAUGUAUUAAUGUAACUAUGUAAAACUAUUACUAUUAAUGCAAUGUUUUGUUGUACUUUGAUUACUAUAAUGCAUGUGUUGUGAUACUUGACAUGACGUCAUCCACCCCAGAACGUUUCCGCCGUUCCGGUUUUGGGGUGUGACAGAUUGGUAUCAGAGCAUUGUUUAUAGUGAGCUAAGUAUAUCAAUUCAUAAAAGAUAUACAACCUAUAAACACAAAGGGAUAAAACACUCUGACCAAGAAUUAUACUUUAAAAUAUAACCAUAUUUUACCAAAGUAUAAUAACAUCCAGAAUCUAAACACUCGAACAAAAGUAUCACAAGAAGAACAAUAAUAAAAGUCUUCGGAUGUUGAGCACUACAGUCAAACCUGGGCAGUUAUGUAAUCGUAAGCUGGGAUAAAUGUAACCUGAUCAACUACAUUUAUCCGAGAUGCGAUGAACAUGUGCUUGGGAGUGAUAGUGGUGUACAACAGGUCUGAAACUUACCAACUAGGAAUGCUAGAGCCAAACAUAAAGUUAAAAUACUAUAGGAGUAUUUUAGAACACUAAAAGAUCCACACUAAUCCCAGAAUGAUAUUCAGAAGAUAAGAAUCAAACAAGAAUUAAAAUACCAUAGGGGUAUUUUAGAAUCCAUAAACAACCUUGCGUGAAUAACUAAAAAGAUCCUUAUUGAUAUACCUACAACUACAGAGGGUGUACUCCCAAGGUUAUAUAUAAUAAGGAUCCCAUAGGCUAAGAAUGUGUGGUUUCGCUCUAUUUCCUUUUCCUCGUUGGGAUGUGGUUCUAGAGUAGUAUCACAUAUUCGAAGGCCUAUCGGAUCUAAGCUAUAUAUGAUUUGUAUACCCUGUGUAAUCGUAGCAGGACUCGAUAUGGAUCAUACAGUGAAAUGUUAAUAAUCUCUUAGGAUUCUUUAGACAUUUCCAUUCUCGCACGAACCCUGUAGAAAACCCUACCCACUUCAGUGCUUGACAGAAGAGUUGAUUCCGACCCCGAGGAGGUUCAUUGAGAAGAUUUCCUGUUCGGAAAUAAAUGAACUGGGUCGAGACUAUUGAAUGCUCCAAGUGCCCAUAUUCUUUUAGGGACAGUGGUGAGAGAUUCGCCUAAACUUCCGAGAUUCCAGUCAUCCAUCAUGAAGCGGUGACACCCAGAGUUGGAAUCAGAAGGAAGGCAGGGUAGAAAUUCAAUGUCUUCACAAGAAAAGAACCCUAGGUAACUACCCGAAGGAAACCAACGCCGAUUCCAGCCAAAGAUAUGAGGCAGACAGAGGGAGCCAGUACACAGAACCCGAGAAUUGUCUUUUCCUCGUGUUCGUCACACUAAUAAACCCGUAAAAUAAUACAAUUUAGUGAGUUAGUGUUUACACUACUCACGCUAUGUGUUAGGUAAAUCGUCGAUUCCCGUUGCCAGAUACACGAUUAGGGCGGAUCCCUGCAUCUCUAUUGAGAGAAUUUUAGCUAUUUGUCCUUGUGAGCCUCUCUUCCCGCAGUUUCAUUCCGAACCGUUCUCAAAUCUCUCCAAGCCGGAGAGUGAAACCUUUCCCAGUAUAAAGGUAACUUAGUAGGAACGACUCGCAUCUUAUGGCCUUUUUGUGAUACUCAUACACCCACUUCGAUUACCAGGACUACAUCAUAGGGAUGUAGGUCGACACUCAAACGACCAGUACCCGAGGCACGGGAAAAUUUAUGCCUAAUACGUUCAGGACAGAAAUGUCCAGGGUUAACCAUCAUCUCUCAUUACCUUGUAUUCCUUUCCGUGUAGGAAAACCAUGCCACCGAAGAAGCGUAACCAAUCCACAAGCAAGAAACCUGCUCUCUUAUUCGAUGAAGCUACGUUCCAAGCUGCAGUCUCAGCAGCCGUAGCAGCUGUCAUGGCUCACCUGAAUGCUAACACCGCCAAUGUUAGCAAGGGCCCUGUCGGGAAUUCCAAUCCUGGCAAUGGACAGCAGCAAUCAACACUUCCAUACUCAGCCACCGAAGAGCCUCCACUGAACCCACUAAAGAGAAAACUCAAGAUAGAGGAGGGAAGUACCUCGGCUCAAGGACCUUCCGAUGGGCAACAAGCUGAGGCAGUCUAUACCCCUGUCAAUCCUUCCCUCCCGACUCCACGAAGACCAUACCUAGGAGACCUUCCCCACUGUAGCAAGUGCAGCUACCAUCAUCAUGGUGUCUAUCGGGAGCUCUAUUGUGCUAGGUGCCACAUGUUGGGGCAUACUGCUCGCGUCUACAGAACCCCGGUUGAGUUCAUUACAUCAACCACCAAUGUGGUGACCCGUACAGUUUGCCACCUAUGUGGUAAAAUUGGACACUUCAAGAAGGAGUGCCCAACCGAAGGGAAAGACAAAGACACAGAAGGAGCCUGACACUACUGCUUAGGGAGAAGCGGCAAGGAACUCGUUAGAUUUUGGUACGUCUCUCGAUAUCGGAUAACUAAACUAAGAACAAUAAAAGACUAAUUCAAAUGUAAAUUCUUCCCAGUAAGGCGAAAGUCGCAGCACUGUUAUAAAAUUUAAAAAUUCAUCAGGUAAAACUAUAACGGCUAAACAUAUACGUUACGACCAUGUAUAUUUAAGAUGGACAGACCUAGAGUGAGCGAAUACCGCCUCAUUUCCUGUUCCUCGUUUGGUUGUGGAUUUAGGGCGGGGUCGCUCAGUCAACAGUCCUCCCCACCUUAAAUAUACAUGACUAGUAUAUGUGAGGCGAUUAUAGAAAUGCCUCGUGAGAAUCCAUUCAAGAAAAGAUACUCUAAUCGGGAGCACCUAGAACUCUCUAUAGUCCGCAUCGACUCUAAUCGGUCCAAGUAUCCGCAGUAGUGAUACAUAGGACGAAACCCUGAGACGCUUAGAACUUGUGUGCCUAUUCGGCACAUGACUCUAUCGAUCUUCACUUUAUAUCCUGUCGAGGUGUGCCAACUUCGACGACUCUAUUGAUCAUGGUUUGACUUCGUGCAACCAUGUGUACAUUAUUAGUGUUGUGAGCUUUCUCCAUGGCCAUAUCGGCAAAUAAAGGUUCCUCCGAACCCGAACCUAACACAAAUAAUCACAUCUAAUGCAAUUCGUCAAUCAUACCUCUUAUCUCAAACCUUCCGAAGUACCCACGUGAGGGUACCCCGCGCCGUCGACCGACCCCUCGUAGUCAAAUGAGCACCGAAGUGAAAGGCACUGCAGAUACCUCAGAAAACGGCAACCAUCCGAGGCAUACUCCGUAGAGUCCCCUGGGAGACCCUUCUCACCUCGCACAUCAGGUUCGUGAACCCAGAGAAUAGAACUCAUGAGGCUGGCCACUAUGACCAGGUAUACUGUUGGCAUCCAUCAAGUAUUGACGGUUAAGCCAAGCAUGAGUUCUACCAUGAACCUCUUCGCAAAACACUUUCACCCCAUUCGAUAACAUAGGAGCAGAAAUCAAGAGAACUACUGUGGAUUGAGCUAGUAAAGUUCCGAGUGAAGAGACCCUAUACCCACUAGAUUUGACUUAGACCGAGAAAAACUCAGAACCUUCGGGAGAGUAGUUGCGGUAGGUGCUCGCACCUACUCCUGCACCUUGUCCACCCAGUUAUAGACCAGUGGUGCUUAUCAUUCUCCACCCUCUCGCAAGGAGGAAAUCGUCGUCGCCCUAUAGACGAUGAAUUAUAUUUUCCGAAGUAAACACUAGGAUAUCGAGAACCACAGGGCAACCUUCGCAGCCAAGAAUACUUGGUCAAGUGCGAAGGUAGUUGAGUUAAAUCUCAUGACCCGGAUCCCGAGAAGAUUAUAGACUCGACACCAGACUUGGUGUUAGUCGAGGGAUUACGUCGGAAAACGCACUUUCCACGCUAGAAUAAACCACAGUCUUAGAGAUUCAUUGGACUAUUAGGUGUUCCACGAAUACUAUCUCACGCAGAGAUAGUAGAACCACCUCCCGAGAUAGUCCAACACUCGUCUGGUGAAACCUUAUAUUCCCGACCUCCAGGGUUUCCGCAUCUCAACUUCGUUAGUGUAGAUUCCUUUUAAACAAGCUUGAGAUAGACACUCUACAGUAAACCGAUAACCAUAAUCACACAACCCACUCGACGAUUUAGAAAGUCUCUAUCAGCCAGUUGACAGAAAACACGAAACCAAAGACCACUCGAGAUUCCUAAGAACCAACCUGAAGGGCUACACNCAUUGCAGAAUACUCCAGAAGACAACAACUAUCCGAAGCGUACUUCAUAGUUUCCCCAAAAAGACCCUUCACACCUCGCACGUCAGGUUCGUAAGCAUAGAGAUUAGGACUCAUGAGACUGACCACUAUAACUAGGUAUAUGCGUAAAGGUGGCAUAUAAUUGAGAUCAAAAAGAUUUAAGGUGUCUUUUUCCUCCCUAUUCCCUGUUCCUCAUUGGGUUGUGGGUUUGGGGUGGAGUCGCAUAGCUGAACAUCCUGCCGACCUCAAUUGUAUACUGCCUGCAUACACCCGGUAUUUGUGGUUAGACAAAGCAUGAGCUCUACCACGAACCUCUUCGCAAGACACUUUCACCCUAUUCCAUAACAUAGGAGUCGGAGUCAAUAUAAUCACUACGGGAGUCAAGAUAAUCACUGUGGGUUAAGCUAGUAAAGUUCCGAGUGAUGAGACCCUAUACUCACUAGAAUUGACCUAGACCGAGAAAAUUCAAAACCUUCGGAAGAGUAGUUGUAGUAGAUGUUCGCACUACUCAGGCACCUCGUCCACCCAGUUAUAGACAAGUGGUGCUUAUCAUCCUCCACCCUCUCGCAAGGAGGAAAUCGUCGUCGCUCGGUAGGCGAAGAAUCACACUUUCCGAAGUAAACACUAGAAUACCGAGAACCAUAGGAUAACCUUCGCAGCCAAGAAUACAUGAUCAAAGAGCGAAAGUAGUUACGUUAAGCCUCAUGACCCUGAUCCCGAAGAGGUUAUAGACUUGACACCAGUCCUGGUGUUAGUCGAAGAGUUAUGCAGGAGCAUACACUUUCCACGCUAGAAUAAACCACAGUCUUAGAGAUUCAUUGGACUAUUAGGUGUUCCACGAAUACUAUCUCACGCAGAGAUAGUAGAACCACCUCCCGAGAUAGUCCAACACUCGUCUGGUGAAACCUUAUAUUCCCGACCUCCAGGGUUUCCGCAUCUCAACUUCGUUAGUGUAGAUUCCUUUUAAACAAGCUUGAGAUAGACACUCUACAGUAAACCGAUAACCAUAAUCACACAACCCACUCGACGAUUUAGAAAGUCUCUAUCAGCCAGUUGACAGAAAACACGAAACCAAAGACCACUCGAGAUUCCUAAGAACCAACCUGAAGGGCUACACGCACAGUACGAGUGAGAACGUUAGGAACUUCGGAAUGGCGAUCACGCCAAUGAUGAUCUUGCCAUAGAAGUACACUAUGUUCUGAGUACUGAAAAGCUCUACCACUCCGAGAGCUUAGGACCAUAUGAGAAUUCUCAAGGAGAUUUGGUCCAACCUUCGUCAGACCACUACUACCUUCGGAUAUACCAUAAGAUUCACACCCGAUCGAUCCACUUCUUAGAGUUGAUAUGUGAUUUCCCGACAUCACUCUUCGUGCCUCACUCAUCUUGAUAGAAUCCAUUAAGAACCCUAACCUUGUAGAUACAUCAGUUGGAACCCACUAGCUACACGAGACGGAAUCCGCAUCCUGUACGUGAAGGUCUGUCGGAAUGACAAACACAGACUAGAGUUCACUUGGGAAUGCGAGGACAACCGUAUAGGAAGUACUCUUUUACCUCUACUUGGCCAUUCAUACCUACUUCCUUUCCUAGACGUGAAUUUCGAGACGAAAUUCCCUCUAACGGGGGGAUGAUGUGACAACCCAAGUUGUUCCGUUACAUUUCCCCGUUACCGUUAACGGAAUAUUCCAGUUUAUAAAAGUUCCGUUAAUUAGAGGUCGUCAAUUAAAUAAACAUUUCAUUGUUUAUAUUUAAUAUGCCGUUAAGUCGUGAUAAAAGGGAAUAAAAACGCAUAACACACAUCUCCAUUCAUUUGGAAAAGUUAGUUUUUAUUAUUACGACCACUAAAUCGGGUGCGACCAAAAGCCCCGUAUAACGGCAGUAUUGGGUAGAAUUCCACUGAGCCCCGACUCGGAACCUUAUAUAAAGGUGAGUGGAGUCCAUUGGAGACUUUUUACACUCUCUCUCUAUACUCUCUCUCUCUCUAGACUCGUUUUCGACCCAAAUCCGCAACCAAACGCUUCCAAAUCGUAAGUCCACUUACCCUAGCAUAUUCUAAACAUAUUGGCUUGUGUUUAUACCUCAAAAAUUGUCCCAGUAGGCAUGGAAUAAGGAG
RNAcentral lists this long non-coding RNA (7635 nucleotides) under Lactuca sativa (garden lettuce). RNAcentral describes it as "long non-coding RNA (LSAT_LNC004254)". Lineage: Eukaryota; Viridiplantae; Streptophyta; Magnoliopsida; Asterales; Asteraceae. The record is from RNAcentral.